Molecule: ribosomal RNA, 796 nt
Filed under: actinobacterium WD386
Lineage: Bacteria; Bacillati; Actinomycetota; Actinomycetes
Description: bacterial SSU rRNA
Rfam family: Bacterial small subunit ribosomal RNA
Source: RNAcentral
CCGCGUGAGGGAUGACGGCCUUCGGGUUGUAAACCUCUUUUAGCAGGGAAGAAGCGAAAGUGACGGUACCUGCAGAAAAAGCGCCGGCUAACUACGUGCCAGCAGCCGCGGUAAUACGUAGGGCGCAAGCGUUAUCCGGAAUUAUUGGGCGUAAAGAGCUCGUAGGCGGUUUGUCGCGUCUGCUGUGAAAUCCCGAGGCUCAACCUCGGGUCUGCAGUGGGUACGGGCAGACUAGAGUGCGGUAGGGGAGAUUGGAAUUCCUGGUGUAGCGGUGGAAUGCGCAGAUAUCAGGAGGAACACCGAUGGCGAAGGCAGAUCUCUGGGCCGUAACUGACGCUGAGGAGCGAAAGGGUGGGGAGCAAACAGGCUUAGAUACCCUGGUAGUCCACCCCGUAAACGUUGGGAACUAGUUGUGGGGUCCAUUCCACGGAUUCCGUGACGCAGCUAACGCAUUAAGUUCCCCGCCUGGGGAGUACGGCCGCAAGGCUAAAACUCAAAGGAAUUGACGGGGACCCGCACAAGCGGCGGAGCAUGCGGAUUAAUUCGAUGCAACGCGAAGAACCUUACCAAGGCUUGACAUACACGAGAACGCUGCAGAAAUGUAGAACUCUUUGGACACUCGUGAACAGGUGGUGCAUGGUUGUCGUCAGCUCGUGUCGUGAGAUGUUGGGUUAAGUCCCGCAACGAGCGCAACCCUCGUUCUAUGUUGCCAGCACGUAAUGGUGGGAACUCAUGGGAUACUGCCGGGGUCAACUCGGAGGAAGGUGGGGAUGACGUCAAAUCAUCAUGCCCCUUA